Equus caballus (horse) is the source of this 536-nucleotide long non-coding RNA. RefSeq lists it as uncharacterized. NCBI's taxonomy places the organism in Eukaryota, Metazoa, Chordata, Mammalia, Perissodactyla, Equidae. The record is from RefSeq and is a predicted model, not a curated record.
AAUAAAAAGAGGACAGGGCACGGCUUAAGAACCUGGAGAAAUCUCAGCUCCGAUUAAGCCUCACCAGAGAAGGAGUGCACAAGGAGGUCUGGCGACACUCUGGAUGUACUUCCUGUGGGCACUUUAAAGACCGGGAAGCGCUCUACUAAUGGAAGAUCUAGUGCUCCUACAGAAGAAGUCACAUGGAACCCUUGCAACAAUUCAUCCUGACCCACAGAUACGAUCAUUUCACAUAUCAAGCAUGAGAUGUGAUUACCCGUAUCUAAGCAUGAGCAAGAUGCAUGACCUACAUGUUAUUAGUGGUCAUUAAAUCCUCAAAUGCUACUUGAAUUCAGGUCAUUUUAUUUCAGCGAUCUCUUGUAACAGGGCAUUGAACUUUUUUGGUGUUCUUAAAACAUACAGGAUAAAAUACUGGAGUUUUUAAAUUGAAAGAGAUAGGAUAAACACAGGAUAAGAAAAAUGAAAAUAUUGCACACAUAGAAAGUACAGUAAGAUGGACAGUGGUAUCACUGAUAUCAGACUGCAAAACCCCACUC